GAAUUCGCCCUUAGAGUUUGAUCCUGGCUCAGGACGAACGCUGGCGGCGCGCCUAACACAUACAAGUCGAACGGAGUUAUUUUGGCAGAAGCCUUCGGGUGGACGCUGAUAUAACUUAGUGGCGAACGGGUGAGUAACACGUUAGCAACCUGCCCUUCAGAGGGGGACAACAGUUGGAAACGACUGCUAAUACCGCAUAAGACCACGGUGUGGCAUCACACAGAGGUCAAAGGAGAAAUCCGCUGAAGGAUGGGCUCGCGUCCAAUUAGCUAGAUGGUGAGGUAACGGCCCACCAUGGCGACGAUUGGUAGCCGGACUGAGAGGUUGAUCGGCACAUUGGGACUGAGACACGGCCCAGACUCCUACGGGAGGCAGCAGUGGGGAAUAUUGCGCAAUGGAGGAAACUCUGAUGCAGCGACGCCGCGUGAGGGAAGAGGGUCUUCGGAUUGUAAACCUCUGUUUUCGGUGACGAACAAAUGACGGUAACCGAGUAGGAAGCCACGGCUAACUACGUGCCAGCAGCCGCGGUAAUACGUAGGUGGCAAGCGUUAUCCGGAAUUACUGGGUGUAAAGGGAGCGCAGGCGGGAUAGCAAGUCAGUUGUGAAAACUAUGGGCUCAACCCAUAAACUGCAGUUGAAACUGUUAUUCUUGAGUGGAGUAGAGGCAAGCGGAAUUCCGAGUGUAGCGGUGAAAUGCGUAGAUAUUCGGAGGAACACCAGUGGCGAAGGCGGCUUGCUGGGCUCUAACUGACGCUGAGGCUCGAAAGUGUGGGGAGCAAACAAAGUUAGAUACCCUGGUAGUCCACACUGUAAAC
RNAcentral lists this ribosomal RNA (815 nucleotides) under uncultured bacterium. RNAcentral's name for it is "bacterial SSU rRNA". It matches the Rfam family "Bacterial small subunit ribosomal RNA", at positions 1 to 807 of the family's 1533-position model. The record is from RNAcentral.